RNAcentral lists this ribosomal RNA (221 nucleotides) under uncultured bacterium. Its description in RNAcentral is "partial 16S ribosomal RNA". It matches the Rfam family "Bacterial small subunit ribosomal RNA", at positions 524 to 742 of the family's 1533-position model. The record is from RNAcentral.
UACGUAGGGUGCAAGCGUUGUCCGGAAUUAUUGGGCGUAAAGAGCUCGUAGGCGGUCUGUCGCGUCUGCUGUGAAAACUCAGGGCUUAACCCUGAGCUUGCAGUGGGUACGGGCAGACUAGAGUGCGGUAGGGGGAGACUGGAAUUCCUGGUGUAGCGGUGAAAUGCGCAGAUAUCAGGAGGAACACCGGUGGCGAAGGCGGGGUCUCUGGGCCGUAACUG